This 490-nucleotide ribosomal RNA is filed under the name uncultured bacterium. RNAcentral describes it as "partial 16S ribosomal RNA". It matches the Rfam family "Bacterial small subunit ribosomal RNA", at positions 28 to 507 of the family's 1533-position model. The record is from RNAcentral.
GAUGAACGCUAGCGAUAGGCUUAACACAUGCAAGUCGAGGGGCAGCAUGGUCUUAGCUUGCUAAGGCUGAUGGCGACCGGCGCACGGGUGCGUAACGCGUAUGCAACUUGCCUCACAGAGGGGGAUAACCCGUCGAAAGACGGACUAAUACCGCGUACACUCUAUGUUGGGCAUCCAAUGUAGAGGAACUGAAAUUCGCUGUGAGAUAGGCAUGCGUCCCAUUAGCUAGUUGGUGAGGUAACGGCUCACCAAGGCGACGAUGGGUAGGGGAACUGAGAGGUUGAGCCCCCACACUGGUACUAAGACACGGACCAGACUCCUACGGGAGGCAGCAGUGAGGAAUAUGGGUCAAUGGGCGAGAGCCUGAACCAGCCAAGUCGCGUGAAGGAUGACUGUCUUAUGGAGUGUAAACUUCUUUUAUACGGGAAUAACAAGAGUCACGGGUGACACCCUGCAUGUACCGUAUGAAUAAGCAUCGGCUAACUCCGUG